AUCAGACCCCGCCCCUUCAGGGAGAACACGGCCCGUUGGCCCCGCUCACGGCGAGAGCACCGCCCACAGGCUGAAGAUCCUGCCCCUUCAGGACGGCCGAGAACGCGCCUGCCUUGCACCACCCCCACCCCGCCCCGCGUCCUUCAGGAGAGCCGGAAACGCUCCUACCCCUACUUCGCUUCUGCACGGCCGCGAGAACGCACCUGUCCAGCCCCCUGUUCGCUCCGCCCACUCAGCGCGCGCGGGAGCGCGCGCGGGAGCAGCUCCAACUUUUUCAAUUUGCCGCCAUCUUUACGGCGGCCGACUUCCCAGCCUGCCUCGCGUCCAGGGAGGCGGAGCUCAGGUCACACCUUGGCUGUAAAGUGUCCUAACAGCCACCUACUUAUGAUUACUGCUUUCUUACCAAUAACCUCCCCAGCCUGUUGUGUGGCUCCUACAUCUUGAACAAAAGCGACCAAGGCAUACAUCUGUAGGAGACCAGAAUAUGCCACCCCAAAAUAUGCCUCCUUGGCCUAAGGAUUAUUCUGAGCUAGUAAUUUUGAGAAACAGAAGCUAUGAAAACAGCAUAAGCUACCCCUUUGAAAGAGAAAUUCACCCCGGCCACCACCCCGUCUGGGAAGUGAGGAGCGUCUCUGCCCAGCCGCCCCGUCUGAGAAGUGAGGAGCCCCUCCGCCCGGCAGCCGCCCCGUCUGGGAAGUGAGGAGCCCCUCUGCCCGGCCGCCAGGCCGUCUGGGAGACCUCGCACUGGAUGGAUCAGCUGGCACCACCCAGAUCGAUAAACUGGCUCAUCAGAUCUUGUGGCCCCCACCCAGGAACUGACUCAAGCACAAGACAGCUUCAAUUCCCUAUGAUUUCAUCUCUGACCCGAUCAAUCAGCACUCCUGACUCACUGGAUGCCACCCACCCUCCAAAUUAUCCUUAAAAACUGUGACCUCCAAAUGCUUGGGGAGACUCAUUUGAGUAAUAAAAAAAGUCCCAGUUUCCCACACAGCUGGCUCUGCAUGAAUUAUUCUUUCUCUAUUGCAAUUCACCUGUCUUGAUAAAUUGGUUCUGCCUAGGCAGCAGGCAAGGUGAACCUGUUGGGCCAUUACAAUCUCAUAGCAGUGGCAGAAUGGACAGACCAGUGAACCCUGUGCUAGGACAACCUGCACCAGGCCCUGGCUGUUGUAGGAGGUCCUUUUUUUUUUUUUUUUUUUUGAGAUGGAGUUUCACUCUUGUUGUCCAGGCUAGAGUGCAAUGGCGCGAUCUCGGCUCACCGCAACCUCCGCCCCCUGGGUUCAAGCAAUUCUCCUGCCUCAGCCUCCCAAGUAGCUGGGAUUACAGGCAGGCACCACCACGCCCGGCUCAUUUUGUAUUUUUAGUAGAGACCGGGUUUCUCCAUGUCAGUCAGGCUAGCCCCAAAUUCCUGACCUCAGGUGAUCCACCCGCCUCCCCGCCUCGGCCUCCCAAAGUGCUGGGAUGACAGGCAUAAGCCACCGCGCCCAGCCUGUUGUAGGAGGUCUUGAACAAACCACUUAACUUGUUUGGGUGGGGCUUAGUUUCCACGUUAGUAAUCUGGAAGUAACAGUUCUGCCUUAUCUGUCUGUUAGGGUUUUGACACUUAGUGAAGUAUGGGAUUUGUAUACUGUAAAGUGAUUGAAUGUAUUUACUAGGUGCAAUACAUAAAAUACGAGUUUCAAGCACUGCUCUGCUUUUACUUAUAGAACCACGUUCUCACUUUUCUAGCCUGAUCAUUCAAGACCCUUGAACACAUCGUCCUUAUCUCCCGCUCCUCAUUGAGACCCUUCCAGAACACUACAAACUUGUAAUACUUAGCUGUAUCACCAGCAAACCAUGUCCUUCCCAAUUUCAGGACCUUUCAAUGUGCUUUCCUCUGCCUGGGGGUGGGUGGGGGGUGGAGAGUAGUUUCCUCCCAACCCAUGAAACCUCUCCACAAAGGUAGAAGAGACAGAAAACCAUUACUGAAUAAGUAUUAAACCAGAUUGUGAUGCCGUACAUCACAUGCAACCUGCUAAAGGCAACACAAAGACAGAAACUCACUUUUUCUAUGCAGCUAAGUAGAGAUAGCCCAUCACAUUAUGUAGGUUUUGCAAUUUGGAGUCAGGUGCCAAGUUAAGCCUUUGUCCUCCUAAGAAGCUGGACUCUUGGCCCUUUCGUCCCUUAACAAUUGCAUUUUUUUCUUUCUUUGUUUUUGAGACAGAGUCUCGCUCUGUCUCCAGGCUGGAGUGCAGUGGUGCUAUGUCGGCUCACUGCAACCUCCGCCUCCCGGGUUCAAGCGAUUCUCCUGCCUCAGCCUCCCGAGUAGCUGGUACUACAGGCACGCUUCACCAUGCCCAGCUAAUUUUUGUAUUUUUAGUAGGGACAGAGUUUCACCAUGUUGGCCAGGAUGGUCUCGAUCUCUUGAUCUUGUGAUCCGCCCGCCUCAGCCUCCCAAAGUGCUGGGAUUGCAGGCGUGAGCCACCGCACCCAGCCAACAAUUACACUUCAAGGAGAUGGCUCCCAAGAAACAUUCCUGAGUUGAACCUGGCCAUAUAAGAAAAAGACUUGAGUACAUUUGGAAAGGAGAGAGGCUGAAAUUUUGAAAGAAAAAGGGAGGGGGAUGGUUUCUCGUCCCUUCUUUUCCUCAGGGAAAAUUAAACCCUAUGUAUAAUUUGUAUUUGCCCUUCCACCUGCAUCACCUUUCCCACAUGCUCCCACAGGCAGGCUCCUGUUCAUUCCCAAGGCUCCGUGUCCACAUCGUGCUUGGAUUCCGCCCGGCCCCGCCUGUGCGGCCGCACCAGGAAGGCACCACCCAUUAGGGGCUCAGCGCGUCCCUCCAGGCCACGCCGUCAGGCCUCCGUCCUUUUAGCUGUAGGGGCAGAUUACGUAACUCCAGCCUUCUGGUCACUAAAGGAGGGUAACAAAGGGCGGUCGAGAGACUCCACUGAGUUGACACGCAGACGCAGCCUCAGGACCCUAAACUCUACGCCCCAGCACACCCUACCAAGCGAGCGCCCGCGGCCGCGUGACGUCAUCUACCCCAAACGCUGUGGCCCCGGCCACGCACGGCUUCGGGGCGGGACUACGCGGUGACGUCGAGGUGCGCGGCGCAGCGCGCGGCGUCAGUCUUGGCUGGCAGACCUGUACUCCGUACUCCGUACUUCGUAGUCGCAGCGGCGCGGUCUUCGGCAGUCUAGUCAUCCACCGCCAUCCUGGGCCCCACGUGUUGCCUGACCAUUCCUGAGCCCAGGUGGGAGCCGUGGCUGAGGUGACGGUCUCAAAGUGGAAGAGCUUACUGUCACAGCAACUCCUUUGCAAGAUGCCCCGGUAAAUCACGUUGCAGAGACCCCAACUCUGCCUUCCUGGAACUAGGCCUGCGUUUUCUCUGAACCAUUAUUUCAUGGGGAAAAUGAAAUCUACUUCAUGUGCCUGGUCUACUUACUCCUUCAGAAGUGAUUUCUGAGCCGCCAGGAAUAGUUGCUGAACACCCCAGGCCUGCUGAGGUCCCUCCUUGAGUCUCAUGUUCAAGCAGUCUUUGUCCAUGAAACUGGGAGGCGACCGUGUUAGCUGCCAGUUCCUGACAGCCACCUCUCACCAGUGGCUUCACUCUGUGUCCCUGACCCAGCACAUGGCACAAGAGUGCCUGCCAUCCGUCAGUGUUUCUACAGCAGCAAUCCCAAGAUGCUGGAGCUAGAGGGGACCUGACCUGAGAGAAGAUACCUUCAGUGGCUGCCAGGCUGUUCCUUGGAACCUGUGCAGGGAUGAGGCCUGCCUGUGUUAAUACACCUAGUGAGGAGUGGAGCUGAAUUUGAAUGCAAGCCUUGGCACCUUAAUUGAGCAAGUUUGAAACCUCGCUUGUUGCCCUUCUGGAAGGAGUCAGGAAUUUCCAGUUCUGGGCCUGGGCUGUGGGUCUGGCAGACAGACCUCUGGCCCUAGGUUUGGGUGCCAGGUUCUCUGCUUCCAGAAUGAGAAGCUUUGCUGUGCACCAGGACCUGGGCCCUUCUGGUAUCUCCUGAAUGAAAAACAAGGGAUAUUUAAUAAAUAUGGAUUUAAAUAUGUGA
Molecule: long non-coding RNA, 4040 nt
Filed under: Homo sapiens (human)
Lineage: Eukaryota; Metazoa; Chordata; Mammalia; Primates; Hominidae
Description: HSALNT0122110
Source: RNAcentral